CGAGUUUCCGGCGAACUUCCGUCGAUCAUUCGAUGAACCCUCGGUGAUGCUCCUGCGGACUUCUGGCAAACUCCUGGACUUGCGACGAUCCACUUGGCAAGUUCCGACGAGCUUCUUUGGCAAGCUUCUGGACUUCUCGGAUUUGUUCCCGCAGAACCUCCGACGACUGUCCGAACUUCCGUCGAGCUCUCGAACUCCCAACGUGAUC
Molecule: long non-coding RNA, 208 nt
Filed under: Musa acuminata (dwarf banana)
Lineage: Eukaryota; Viridiplantae; Streptophyta; Magnoliopsida; Zingiberales; Musaceae
Description: long non-coding RNA (MACU_LNC004671)
Source: RNAcentral